UACAGAGGCCACAAGCGUUAGGCGGAAUCACUGGGCUUAAAGCGUGUGUAGGCGGGAUGGUAAGUACCUUGUGAAAUCCCACGGCUCAACCGUGGAAAUGCUUGGUAUACUGCCGUUCUUGAAUCACCUAGGGGCAGCUGGAACUGAUGGUGGAGCGGUGAAAUGCAUAGAUAUCAUCAGGAACGCCAAUGGUGCAGACAAGCUGCUGGGGGUGUAUUGACGCUGAGGCACGAAAGCUAGGGGAGCAAACGGG
Molecule: non-coding RNA, 253 nt
Filed under: uncultured bacterium
Lineage: Bacteria
Also listed under: 1 other name
Description: partial 16S ribosomal RNA
Rfam family: Bacterial small subunit ribosomal RNA
Source: RNAcentral